CUACGGGACGCUCCAGUGGGGAAUAUUGCACAAUGGGCGCAAGCCUGAUGCAGCCAUGCCGCGUGUAUGAAGAAGGCCUUCGGGUUGUAAAGUACUUUCAGCGGGGAGGAAGGGAGUAAAGUUAAUACCUUUGCUCAUUGACGUUACCCGCAGAAGAAGCACCGGCUAAGUCCCUGCCAGCAGCCGCGGUAAUACGGAGGGUGCAAGCGUUAAUCGGAAUUACUGGGCGUAAAGCGCACGCAGGCGGUUUGUUAAGUCAGAUGUGAAAUCCCCGGGCUCAACCUGGGAACUGCAUCUGAUACUGGCAAGCUUGAGUCUCGUAGAGGGGGGUAGAAUUCCAGGUGUAGCGGUGAAAUGCGUAGAGAUCUGGAGGAAUACCGGUGGCGAAGGCGGCCCCCUGGACGAAGACUGACGCUCAGGUGCGAAAGCGUGGGGAGCAAACAGGAUUAGAUACCCGGGUAGUC
Molecule: ribosomal RNA, 464 nt
Filed under: uncultured bacterium
Lineage: Bacteria
Description: partial 16S ribosomal RNA
Rfam family: Bacterial small subunit ribosomal RNA
Source: RNAcentral